This 201-nucleotide long non-coding RNA is filed under the name Elaeis guineensis (African oil palm). RNAcentral's name for it is "long non-coding RNA (EGUI_LNC001967)". Lineage: Eukaryota; Viridiplantae; Streptophyta; Magnoliopsida; Arecales; Arecaceae. The record is from RNAcentral.
GGAAGGUAUAGGCAUUUUGUUAGUCUUCCAUUUCUGAGGACAGUCGGGAUCGUGGAGGGAUGAAAGGAUAAUAAGCUCUACCAAAAAUGGUGGAUGUUUUAAGGGUCUUGUCUCCUCCAUCUCAUCCGAGAUGAAGCAAGGUAAGAGGAUGAGAAGGAUUCUUGUAAAAGGAGGUUUGAAGAAAGAGGAAGUGGGGCAGGG